GGUGCGGUAGCAAAGCGACCAUGCAGCGGAUUGCAAAUCCGCAGACACCGGUUUGAAUCCGGUCCGCACCU
Molecule: transfer RNA, 71 nt
Filed under: Acidovorax sp. CF316
Lineage: Bacteria; Pseudomonadati; Pseudomonadota; Betaproteobacteria; Burkholderiales; Comamonadaceae
Rfam family: tRNA
About the family: Transfer RNA (tRNA) molecules are approximately 80 nucleotides in length. Their secondary structure includes four short double-helical elements and three loops (D, anti-codon, and T loops).
Source: Rfam by way of RNAcentral